This 243-nucleotide ribosomal RNA is filed under the name uncultured Streptococcus sp. Its description in RNAcentral is "partial 16S ribosomal RNA". It matches the Rfam family "Bacterial small subunit ribosomal RNA", at positions 1139 to 1382 of the family's 1533-position model. Lineage: Bacteria; Bacillati; Bacillota; Bacilli; Lactobacillales; Streptococcaceae. The record is from RNAcentral.
UCUAGCGAGACUGCCGGUAAUAAACCGGAGGAAGUGGGGAUGACGUCAAAUCAUCAUGCCCCUUAUGACCUGGGCUACACACGUGCUACAAUGGUUGGUACAACGAGUUGCGAGUCGGUGACGGCGAGCUAAUCUCUUAAAGCCAAUCUCAGUUCGGAUUGUAGGCUGCAACUCGCCUACAUGAAGUCGGAAUCGCUAGUAAUCGCGGAUCAGCACGCCGCGGUGAAUACGUUCCCGGGCCUU